ACAUUUUUGGAGUAUUUAUUUACAGGUCAAGUGUACGUUUGAGCCCACUUUAAAAAUAAUUGUGUAAUCCAAUGAAGAAUGCAUUUUUCAUUAGCCAUACAUAAAUACAUAUACGCAAGAAGUAUAUAAUACUACAAGUUGAAUCUGGAAUGUAUAGAAACAGAUAUGAUCUCAAGAAACUGAAUAAAUCAAAAUGGAGUUAAUAAUUUAAGCAUGGAGAAGUCUUGUUAUCCAUAGAAUACAUGGAUGGGUUCGCAUAGAUACUCGCAAUACACUUAAUACGGUUGUAGUCGUUUUGAG
Non-coding RNA from Caenorhabditis elegans, 300 nucleotides. The record is from Ensembl. NCBI's taxonomy places the organism in Eukaryota, Metazoa, Nematoda, Chromadorea, Rhabditida, Rhabditidae.